GAGGUAGGGGCAAUAAAUCACAAUGCGGAACAAUGUUUUGCAAUUGGAUUGAGAACAACGUACAAACCUUAUCGAUAAACAAUUGGAGGGCAAGUCUGGUGCCAGCAGCCGCGGUAAUUCCAGCUCCAAUAGCGUAUAUUAACGUUGUUGCAGUUAAAAAGCUCGUAGUUGAAAUGAAGGGUAGUUGUGUAAUGAAUACAUUCGUGUAUUUUGUUAUUCUACUACCCUCCUUCUAAAUUCGAUAUAUGAGUAUUAAUUUACUUGUAUAUGGUUUUAGACGUUUACUGUGAGAAAAUUAGAGUGUUCAAAGCAGGCAUUUGCUUGAAUAUAUUAGCAUGGAAUAAUCAUGUAUGAUUUUCAUGAUGUAUUUGAUUGGUUUGGUUCAUGAGAAUAAGAUUAAAAGGGACAGUUGGGGGUAUUCAUAUUCAAUAGUCAGAGGUGAAAUUCUCGGAUUUAUGGAAGAUGAACAAUGGCGAAAGCA
RNAcentral lists this ribosomal RNA (481 nucleotides) under Blastocystis sp. RNAcentral's name for it is "SSU rRNA". It matches the Rfam family "Eukaryotic small subunit ribosomal RNA", at positions 461 to 953 of the family's 1831-position model. The record is from RNAcentral. Lineage: Eukaryota; Bigyra; Opalinata; Blastocystidae.